UACGUAGGGUGCAAGCGUUGUCCGGAAUUAUUGGGCGUAAAGAGCUCGUAGGCGGUUUGUCGCGUCGGCUGUGAAAACUCGGGGCUCAACCCCGAGCCUGCAGUCGAUACGGGCAGACUAGAGUGCUGUAGGGGAGACUGGAAUUCCUGGUGUAGCGGUGAAAUGCGCAGAUAUCAGGAGGAACACCGGUGGCGAAGGCGGGUCUCUGGGCAGUAACUGACGCUGAUGCGCGAAAGCGUGGGUAGCAAACAGG
Molecule: ribosomal RNA, 253 nt
Filed under: uncultured bacterium
Lineage: Bacteria
Description: partial 16S ribosomal RNA
Rfam family: Bacterial small subunit ribosomal RNA
Source: RNAcentral